UACGGGGGGGGCAAGCGUUGUUCGGAAUUACUGGGCGUAAAGGGCGCGUAGGCGGCCUUGUUAGUCGAGUGUGAAAGCCCUGGGCUUAACCCGGGAAGCGCGCUUGAUACUGCAGGGCUUGAGUGUGGGAGAGGAUGAUGGAAUUCCCAGUGUAGAGGUGAAAUUCGUAGAUAUUCGCAAGAACACCAGCGGCGAAGGCGGCUCACUGGCCCGGUACUGACGCUGAGGUGCGAAAGCGUGGGGAGCAAACAGG
Molecule: ribosomal RNA, 253 nt
Filed under: uncultured bacterium
Lineage: Bacteria
Description: partial 16S ribosomal RNA
Rfam family: Bacterial small subunit ribosomal RNA
Source: RNAcentral